RNAcentral lists this ribosomal RNA (460 nucleotides) under uncultured bacterium. Its description in RNAcentral is "partial 16S ribosomal RNA". It matches the Rfam family "Bacterial small subunit ribosomal RNA", at positions 338 to 795 of the family's 1533-position model. The record is from RNAcentral.
CCUACGGGUGGCAGCAGUGAGGAAUAUUGGUCAAUGGACGAGAGUCUGAACCAGCCAAGUAGCGUGAAGGAUGACUGUCCUAUGGGUUGUAAACUUCUUUUAUAUGGGAAUAAAAUGUUCCACGUGUGGGAUUUUGUAUGUACCAUAUGAAUAAGGAUCGGCUAACUCCGUGCCAGCAGCCGCGGUAAUACGGAGGAUCCGAGCGUUAUCCGGAUUUAUUGGGUUUAAAGGGAGCGUAGGUGGAUUGUUAAGUCAGUUGUGAAAGUUUGCGGCUCAACCGUAAAAUUGCAGUUGAAACUGGCAGUCUUGAGUACAGUAGAGGUGGGCGGAAUUCGUGGUGUAGCGGUGAAAUGCUUAGAUAGCACGAAGAACUCCGAUUGCGAAGGCAGUUCACUGGACUGCAACUGACACUGAGGCUCGAAAGUGUGGGUAUCAAACAGGAUUAGAUACCCCAGUAGUC